GACGAACGCUGGCGGCGUGCUUAACACAUGCAAGUCGAGCGGUAAGGCCCUUUCGGGGGUACGACGAGCGGCGAACGGGUGAGUAACACGUGGGUGACCUGCCUUUAGCUCUGGGAUAAGCCUGGGAAACUGGGUCUAAUACCGGAUAUGACUCCGCGGUGCAUGCUGUGGGGUGGAAAGCCUUGUGCGGCUGGAGAUGGGCCCGCGGCCUAUCAGCUUGUUGGUGGGGUGAGGCCUACCAAGGCGACGACGGGUAGCCGGCCUGAGAGGGCGACCGGCCACACUGGGACUGAGACAUGGCCCAGACUCCUACGGGAGGGCAGCAGUGGGGGAAUCUUGCGCAAUGGGCGAAAGCCUGACGCAGCGACGCCGCGUGAGGGAUGACGGCCU
Molecule: ribosomal RNA, 390 nt
Filed under: uncultured bacterium
Lineage: Bacteria
Description: bacterial SSU rRNA
Rfam family: Bacterial small subunit ribosomal RNA
Source: RNAcentral